CUGCUUUUAACAUUUUGGGCUUAAAUUACAGUUAAUAGUUCCCAUAAAAGAGGUAAUAGGAGAAAAACUAAAAUUCAGAAUCCUUGAACUCAAAAGGCGUUCUGGAUUUCUAGUCAUAGCAUCAUCCCUCACGGUUUUUCUGUCAAAAAAUAAAGCAACCGGGGAGUUGUUUAUACAGACAGAAGGUGACAAAAUCUUUGCUGAAUAUCCUUCGUGUUGAGGUGAGCUUUCCUUCUCUGAUCAGAAGCGGAUGAAUGUGCGGAGCCAUAUCCUUCAGAUCCCUUUCUCCUCACCUGAUUUUCCCUUUCUCCUAACCUGCAGGAAGCUUGGUGAUGGGAACCUCUCUGCUCUUGGCCCAGGCAGCUGCUCCUGCUGGCUUCUGGAGUUAAGACUCGAGUCUUCAAAAGGUCCCUUCCUGAAGCAUUGUGAGGCUCCCAAAGGUGAAUAUUAAUGAGCAGCGGUACCUGGGCUCCUCGGCACUUUAAUUACAGAACCCAGAUUAUGCUAAAUUGUGUGUAAGCAAAGAAGAAAACAUGGUGCCUUCCUCGGCAAGCUUACUCUGUGCAUGUAAAAGAGAACCAUC
RNAcentral lists this long non-coding RNA (583 nucleotides) under Anas platyrhynchos platyrhynchos (common mallard). Its description in RNAcentral is "lncRNA (ENSAPLG00000025358.1)". Lineage: Eukaryota; Metazoa; Chordata; Aves; Anseriformes; Anatidae. The record is from RNAcentral.